GAUGAAGAACGUAGCGAAAUGCGAUAAGUAAUGUGAAUUGCAGAAUUCAGUGAAUCAUCGAAUCUUUGAACGCACAUUGCGCCCGCCAGUAUUCUGGCGGGCAUGCCUGUUCGAGCGUCAUUACAACCCUCAGGCCCCCGGGCCUGGCGUUGGGGAUCGGCGGAAGCCCCCUGUGGGCACACGCCGUCCCUCAGAUACAGUGGCGGUCCCGCCGCAGCUUCCAUUGCGUAGUAGCUAACACCUCGCAACUGGAGAGCGGCGCGGCCAUGCCGUAAAACACCCAACUUCUGAAUGUUGACCUCGAAUCAGGUAGGAAUACCCGCUGAACUUAAGCAUAUCAAUAAGCGGAGGA
RNAcentral lists this unclassified non-coding RNA (352 nucleotides) under soil metagenome. RNAcentral describes it as "partial contains 5.8S ribosomal RNA, internal transcribed spacer 2, and large subunit ribosomal RNA". The stretch from base 1 to 120 matches the Rfam family "5.8S ribosomal RNA", at positions 35 to 154 of the family's 154-position model. The record is from RNAcentral.